RNAcentral lists this ribosomal RNA (167 nucleotides) under Meiacanthus ditrema. RNAcentral's name for it is "partial 12S rRNA". The record is from RNAcentral. Lineage: Eukaryota; Metazoa; Chordata; Actinopteri; Blenniiformes; Blenniidae.
CACCGCGGUUAUACGAGAGGCCCAAGUUGACAGCCCCUCGGCGUAAAGGGUGGUUAAAUUUUACUUAGUUAAAGCCAAACUCCCUCCUGACUGUUGCACGCACCCGAGGAAUAGAAGCCCCACCACGAAAGUGACUUUAAUUUAUUGAACCCACGAAAGCUAAGGCA